GGCGCAAAGAGAGGCCCAAGUGAGAUUAGCUAGUUGGUGAGGUAAAGGCUCACCAAGGCAACGAUCUCUAGCUGUUCUGAGAGGAAGAUCAGCCACACUGGGACUGAGACACGGCCCAGACUCCUACGGGAGGCAGCAGUGGGGAAUAUUGCACAAUGGGGGAAACCCUGAUGCAGCCAUGCCGCGUGUGUGAAGAAGGCCUUCGGGUUGUAAAGCACUUUCAGUUGUGAGGAAAAGUUAGUAGUUAAUACCUGCUAGCCGUGACGUUAACAACAGAAGAAGCACCGGCUAACUCCGUGCCAGCAGCCGCGGUAAUACGGAGGGUGCGAGCGUUAAUCGGAAUUACUGGGCGUAAAGCGCACGCAGGCGGUUUGUUAAGCUAGAUGUGAAAGCCCCGGGCUCAACCUGGGACGGUCAUUUAGAACUGGCAGACUAGAGUCUUGGAGAGGGGAGUGGAAUUCCAGGUGUAGCGGUGAAAUGCGUAGAUAUCUGGAGGAACAUCAGUGGCGAAGGCGACUCCCUGGCCAAAGACUGACGCUCAUGUGCGAAAGUGUGGGUAGCGAACAGGAUUAGAUACCCUGGUAGUCCACACCGUAAACGCUGUCUACUAGCUGUUUGUG
This 620-nucleotide ribosomal RNA is filed under the name Alteromonas stellipolaris. RNAcentral describes it as "bacterial SSU rRNA". It matches the Rfam family "Bacterial small subunit ribosomal RNA", at positions 216 to 828 of the family's 1533-position model. The record is from RNAcentral. Lineage: Bacteria; Pseudomonadati; Pseudomonadota; Gammaproteobacteria; Alteromonadales; Alteromonadaceae.